Capra hircus (goat) is the source of this 1856-nucleotide long non-coding RNA. Lineage: Eukaryota; Metazoa; Chordata; Mammalia; Artiodactyla; Bovidae. The record is from Ensembl.
UAAGAUUCUCCAUCUGCCUCCCCAGACAAAAACCACACACACACACACACACACACACACAAACACACACACACCCUAAAACCACACACACAUGCACAGACACACAGCCUUACAGACUUGAAAUAAAACCCAAGUGAAGAUCUCCAACUGGAAACAGUUGCUGCCUGCCGAUCUUAUCCAUGGGAUCAGCUUGGAAGAAGUUGGGGGUUGUGUUUGUAAUCUGUUGUUACCAGAAGUCGAGCUUCUGGGAAGAAAUAAAAGGGAUCAUAGGUUGUGAUUUGCUCUUCUGCAUUUUUAGUCUUAACUUCUUCUUUUCUUCCUGUAUCUUUGAGGGCUCUGGAUUUUGAAUCCGCACAGAGGGCCUACUUUCAAGGGACGAAGAGGAGUUUGGGAACACUCUUGCUGGCUGGAUUGGUAACUAGUGGCUGGGCUCCAACAGCCCUGCAAACAGUAAGGGUAUUUUCUGCACCUUCCCAUCUCAGGCCCUGCGGUCAGCCCAGUGUGGACUCUGAGGUUCAGAUUCAUCCGUGGGGUUCUUCCAGUUUGCCCAGAAGUGCUCUGAACACCCCAAACAAGCAUCUCAGCUCCAGUUCUGAGGAAGGGAUUGUCUUUGAAGUGGUUCAAUUAAGAUGGUGUCCAUGUCCCCUAAGACCUGGAAAUGGGCAGGUGUGCAGAGCUGACAAAGAGCAUCUGCAGGGAUGAAACAAACACGUCUGAAUUUUCAUCAGAUCUGAGCUGCCUCACAGAAGGGACUCAAGAACCCUUUGGCAUCCCUUUGGGAUGAUGGCUGCCUCAGACGCUUCUGUUCCAAACUCUUGUUUCCAGAGGAAACUGACCACCUGGCUUUCUAGCAGGGAACUCAACCCACCUGGCUGUGGGAUUGCUUUGGCCUUCUCAGUUCACUCUUGGAGUCUCGGAGCAGAGAUCUUGAAAUAGGAGGAACUCCCCCUCUACCCGCAACACCCUACUCAACCCCCCAGCCAAUACCACGGAACAUCUAAUGUCAGAUAGAACAUGCUCCUGUUAUAGGCUUGUCAAGGAAACCUAAAUAUCUGGGGAUGACUUAAGUCUCUGAGCAACAAAUGGAGGAUGCUUAUGGACUUGGGAAGAGUAGCUUGCCCAUGUGUGCACUCCCUUAAUCUCUGACAAUCCAGAGCGCUGGGUUGAAAAGACAAUUGGUAUUCUCUCCCCUCUUCUCCUCCUUCUGAGGUUUCCUUCCAUGCAAUGAUGUGAAGAGUAGGUAAAGGGGGCUCUCAUGGACUCUUGGACAUGCAGUUGAUUCAUUGGGAUCACUGCGAAACCUGAGGGAGAAAGGCACCUUACCAGGAAAUGUUGAGCAAGCAAGCUCAAUGGAAGUUUGCUUUUUUUUUUACAGUUAAGACCUUCCUCAGAGAAAGACUCUCCAAUUUGCACAGUCUACUUCCCAAACUCACUUCUCCCCUCUCACUUUGUCUAUAACUCCUGCUUCUUCGUGGAAACAUACGCCUCUUGCUGAGUUAUGUUCUUUAAAUUCUACUCUCUCAACUCCACUUUUACCCAAAAUAUCACACACAAGAUAUCUCCAGAUAUACCUGUCUACCUCCAGGGCCACUUAGAAGACCAAAUGUUCUCACACAUAUUUAAUCUAAAGCUUCCCUCUCAUUUAAGUGGCAUGCAUUUCCCCCUUUAAUCAGUGCUACUAAUGGGGUUGGUGAGAAUUCUAGGAAAAGUGCUAAGAUCCCAAGAGCAUUCGCAUUGUUAUUGCACAGAUCUAAGUCCAAGUGUGAGCUCUGCCACCACAGAGCUAUGAGGCUAGAGGUCUCAGAGCCUCAGCGGUUACACCACAAAACUGAAGACAAUAAUAACGCCCUCAUCAC